AUGCAGAGAGUGCAAGCGUUAAUCGGAAUUACUGGGCGUAAAGCGCGCGUAGGUGGAUACUUUAGUCGGAUGUGAAAGCCCCAGGCUUAACCUGGGAAUUGCACCCGAUACUGGGUGUCUAGAGUAUAGUAGAGGGAAGUGGAAUUUCCGGUGUAGCGGUGAAAUGCGUAGAUAUCGGAAGGAACACCAGUGGCGAAGGCGGCUUCCUGGAUCAAGACUGACACUGAGGUGCGAAAGCGUGGGGAGCAAACAGGAUUAGAAACCCCGGUAGUCC
This 274-nucleotide ribosomal RNA is filed under the name uncultured bacterium. RNAcentral's name for it is "partial 16S ribosomal RNA". It matches the Rfam family "Bacterial small subunit ribosomal RNA", at positions 523 to 796 of the family's 1533-position model. The record is from RNAcentral.